CGUGAGCUCCGGCACUCUGUCCACAUCCACCUCCGUCUCCUCGCAGAUCUCCAGCACCACCUUUGAAAGCGUGAGAAGGAGCUGGCCACCAAGUGCCUGCGCCUUCUGACACACACCUUCAAUACUGAAUACAAGCAGCUGGUGAACAGCAUCAGUGACUGCAAGCUUUCUCUCAUCUCACCGAUCGGACGUGAUCCAUCCGUGACGAGCUUCAGCAGUGCCACCCUCACCCCUUCCUCUACCUGCCC
Non-coding RNA from Maylandia zebra (zebra mbuna), 248 nucleotides. The record is from RefSeq and is a predicted model, not a curated record. Lineage: Eukaryota; Metazoa; Chordata; Actinopteri; Cichliformes; Cichlidae.